AUACGUAGGGGGCGAGCGUUGUCCGGAAUGAUUGGGCGUAAAGGGCGCGUAGGCGGCGCGGUAAGUCUGGAGUGAAAGUCCUGCUUUCAAGGUGGGAAUUGCUUUGGAUACUGCCGCGCUUGAGUGCAGGAGAGGUUAUCGGAAUUCCCGGUGUAGCGGUGAAAUGCGUAGAGAUCGGGAGGAACACCAGUGGCGAAGGCGGGUAACUGGACUGCAACUGACGCUGAUGCGCGAUAGUGUGGGGAGCAAACAGGAUUAGAUACCCUGGUAGUCCACACUGUAAACGAUGAAUGCUAGGUGUAAGAGGUAUCGACCCCUUUUGUGCCGGAGUCAACACAAUAAGCAUUCCGCCUGGGGAGUACGGCCGCAAGGUUGAAACUCAAAUGAAUUGACGGGG
This 397-nucleotide ribosomal RNA is filed under the name uncultured bacterium. RNAcentral describes it as "partial 16S ribosomal RNA". It matches the Rfam family "Bacterial small subunit ribosomal RNA", at positions 523 to 918 of the family's 1533-position model. The record is from RNAcentral.